Molecule: ribosomal RNA, 443 nt
Filed under: uncultured bacterium
Lineage: Bacteria
Description: partial 16S ribosomal RNA
Rfam family: Bacterial small subunit ribosomal RNA
Source: RNAcentral
CCUACGGGUGGCAGCAGUGGGGAAUAUUGGGCAAUGGGCGCAAGCCUGACCCAGCAACGCCGCGUGAAGGAAGAAGGCUUUCGGGGUGUAAACUUCUUUUAAGAGGGACGAAGCAAGUGACGGUACCUGAGGAAUAAGCCACGGCUAACUACGUGCCAGCAGCCGCGGUAAUACGGAGGUGGCAAGCGUUAUCCGGAUUUACUGGGUGUAAGGGGCGUGUAGGCGGGAAAGCAAGUCAGAUGUGAAAACCAUGGGCUCAACCUGUGGCCUGCAUUUGAAACUGGUUUUCUUGAGUCCUGGAGAGGCAGACGGAAUUCCUAGUGUAGCGGUGAAAUGCGUAGAUAUUAGGAGGAACACCAGUGGCGAAGGCGGUCUGCUGGACAGCAACUGACGCUGAGGCGCGAAAGCGUGGGGAGCAAACAGGAUUAGAUACCCCAGUAGUC